GUGAAGAACGCAGUGAAAUGCGAUAAGUAAUGUGAAUUGCAGAAUUCAGUGAAUCAUCGAAUCUUUGAACGCACAUUGCGCCCGCCAGUAUUCUGGCGGGCAUGCCUGUUCGAGCGUCAUUACAACCCUCAGGCCCCCGGGCCUGGCGUUGGGGAUCGGCGGAAGCCCCCUGCGGGCACAACGCCGUCCCCCAAAUACAGUGGCGGUCCCGCCGCAGCUUCCAUUGCGUAGUAGCUAACACCUCGCAACUGGAGAGCGGCGCGGCCACGCCGUAAAACACCCAACUUCUGAAUGUUGACCUCGAAUCAGGUAGGAAUACCCGCUGAACUUAAGCAUAUCAAUAAGCGGAGGA
Molecule: unclassified non-coding RNA, 352 nt
Filed under: soil metagenome
Description: partial contains 5.8S ribosomal RNA, internal transcribed spacer 2, and large subunit ribosomal RNA
Rfam family: 5.8S ribosomal RNA (bases 2-119)
Source: RNAcentral